RNAcentral lists this long non-coding RNA (1382 nucleotides) under Homo sapiens (human). Its description in RNAcentral is "non-protein coding HAND2-AS1:13". The record is from RNAcentral. Lineage: Eukaryota; Metazoa; Chordata; Mammalia; Primates; Hominidae.
GGAUAAUGCAAGUGUUUAACAGAUGCUUCACUAUUAAAAUAUUUUCCCCCCAAGUCUCAAAUAUUGAAGAAUCUCUAACCAGGCUCGAAACGCCGGUCUCAGUGGCUAUUGAGUUACCCACCAAGUUACCCCGGUUAGAGCUGUUUGGGGUGGCUCACGUUAUUGCGGCAAACUUUGGAGAUGACGGCUGAGUCCUCCGGGCGAACAUGUCAAGCCGAUUGUAAAUGCUGUUAUUUCCACAUCCUUCAGGGACACCAGUCCCUACGAAGACCUUGGGCGAUUUUGAAGUGCGGGCACCUCGAUUCCCCGAAUCUGUAGUGUGGCUGGUAUCGGUGUUCCCCUGGUUUAACUAGCCUGUUUGAAGGCACAGAUCAUUCAUGGGGAUGUAUAACCGAAACCAGUCCUCUCCACCGCCUGGGGAUCUUCACUUUCGCAGUCUACGACUGCCUGUGACUCCAGAAAGACAAACUGCAGAUUGGCCAAGCUGCCUGAAGACCCAGCCCGACAGCGAUGCCUGUCAGCCCGCGUCGCCCACCAGGGCAGCUGCUCUCCCAACUCGCAUGGGGGGCACCACCCCGCCUCGGUGCCCUAGAGCUGAGCGCAGCCGCGGCUCCACGGGGAUCGCCAGGGCCUCAGCCCUCGCGGCCGGCGGCGCGGGAGUGUUGCGGGGCAGGGACCAGAGCGCGAUCAGAGCGGCCACCCCCGAUUUAGGUCGCCAGCUUUCCAGUCACUGCGAUGGCCACUGGGGCGCCCCUUCCAUCCUGGUUAAAUUCUCAUUGUGAUCCCCAGCCCUCUUCUCGGUUCCCCACACCCAGGAGGCCGGUUCUCCGCCGCUCAGGCUGGGAGAGGUCACCGCUCCGGGCAGGGUGGACCCCCAGCUCCGUCUCGGAGGACCUUUCGCCGGAGGCGAGCAGGAAGGGGUUAACCAUGAGCCUCCCACCCUCACCUCCCAGACCCUGGUGCCGGGCUAAGGCCUCCGCUUCCCUCCUGAGGUCUCAUUAGGAAACCCUCACCGCUAUUUUCAACAUUUCCUCAAUCAAGUGCCUUUAAAUAGAGCUGCACAAACAGAUUGGCGGCAAAAGCGUAGAUCUUGUCACGAUUGAGACCAAUCCAGUAUUUCAGCCUUGUUUGCUUUGCAAUUACGGGUUGGCUUGUGGCUACGGUGCCACCGGGGCAAAUCUGCAGCCGCUCGCUUUCUCCUCUGCGCUCCGGGCGGGUGGAGGAAGCGACCCGCGGAGUCACUGCAGGGAGGAGAGGGGGACGCGCGCGGGGGGAGGCGGCGGAGGGCGGAGGAGACUCGCUUGCACCCCAGGGCCGCGGGCACGCAGAGCUGUGUUGAAGGACAUACUUUUCAGGUUCCUGACAGUCACUGAGCUAUACGC